AACUAACGCUGGCGGCGUGCCUAACACAUGCAAGUCGUACGAGAAAGCCGGCUUCGGCUGGUGAGUAAAGUGGCGCACGGGUGAGUAACGCGUGGAUAAUCUGCCCUUAAGUGUGGAAUAACGUACCGAAAGGUGCGCUAAUACCGCAUAAUGCCUGGCAACACAAGUUGUCCGGCCAAAGAAGGCCUCUGUUUACAAGCUUUCGCUUCAGGAUGAGUCCGCGUACCAUUAGCUUGUUGGUGGGGUAAUGGCCUACCAAGGCUGCGAUGGUUAGCUGGUCUGAGAGGAUGAUCAGCCACACUGGAACUGAGACACGGUCCAGACUCCUACGGGAGGCAGCAGUGAGGAAUAUUGCGCAAUGGGGGCAACCCUGACGCGGCAACGCCGCGUGAGUGAGGAAGGUUUUCGGACUGUAAAGCUCUGUCGAGCGGGAAGAAGUGUACCAUGGCUAAUAUCCAUGAUAUUUGACGGUACCGCUAGAGGAAGCACC
This 490-nucleotide ribosomal RNA is filed under the name uncultured bacterium. Its description in RNAcentral is "bacterial SSU rRNA". It matches the Rfam family "Bacterial small subunit ribosomal RNA", at positions 29 to 494 of the family's 1533-position model. The record is from RNAcentral.